GUCUACGGCCAUACCACUCUGAAUGCGCCCGAUCUCGUCCGAUCUUGGAAGACAUGCAACUCAAAUGUAAAUACAGUAGAAU
This 82-nucleotide ribosomal RNA is filed under the name Mus spicilegus (steppe mouse). The record is from RNAcentral. Lineage: Eukaryota; Metazoa; Chordata; Mammalia; Rodentia; Muridae.